This 536-nucleotide ribosomal RNA is filed under the name uncultured archaeon. RNAcentral's name for it is "bacterial SSU rRNA". It matches the Rfam family "Archaeal small subunit ribosomal RNA", at positions 50 to 544 of the family's 1478-position model. The record is from RNAcentral.
CAUGCNCCCNUUAAAGGACUUCGGUCCUUGGCAGACGGCUCNGUAACACGUGGAGAACCUGCCCUCAGGAGGGGGAUAACCCCGGGAAACUGGGAAUAAUACCCCAUAGGUCUAGAAUGCUGGAAUGCUUCUAGGCUCAAAGCUCCGGCGCCUGAGGAUGGCUCUGCGGCUUAUCAGGUUGUAGUGAGAGUAACGUCCUCACUAGCCUAUGACGGGUACGGGCCCUGAGAGGGGAUGCCCGGAGAUGGACUCUGAGACACGAGUCCAGGCCCUACGGGGCGCAGCAGGCGCGAAAACUCCGCAAUGCUCGAAAGAGUGACGGGGGGAUUCCAAGUGCCUACGCUUAGCGUAGGCUGUUCAGAUGCCUAAAAAGCAUCUGGAGUAAGGGCUGGGUAAGACGGGUGCCAUCUGUGGCAGCAGCCGAAGAUUUGGUUUGCUACUGCAAGGCAUAAGCCGCCGCGGUAAUACCCGCAGCCCGAGUGGUAGUCGAUUUUAUUGGGCCUAAAGCGUCCGUAUCCGGUCUGAUAANUGCUUGG